UUCCGUGUCCCUCUGAGGCUGCGGUCACUGUCAUGGAGGGGCUGGGCCCUGUUGGGAGCAGUGUUUGCAUGGGGUGGGCAGUGUGCAGCCUCCGGGGAAGGGGGUGCUUCUGUGGGGUGUGGAGUGGAUUGGGAGUGUAAGGCAACUACAGGGACAGAAAAUAAAAGCAGAACACAGACUCCUAGGAAUCCAUAAAUAUGCAGCUGGGGUGUCCUCCCCGUAGGCCGGCCAGUGAGGCGCUCCUCAGUCAGCAAGGAAGCUCUUCACAGGGAAGGUCAGGAGAGCACGGCACUUAAGUGGAUUGAUGUGAGAUUAUCUCAAGAGCACUAGAGGAGGGCGAGCAGGGUACUGGACACUAUUAGAUUUUUUUCAUUUUUAAUAAUGUUCCUUUUAAUUUGUGAAGUCAAUACUGUCUUUUCUCCCUGCUGGGAGAGGCUGUGCUGUGGUGGGGCCAACUCGGGGUCCUCUCCUUGUGGGGGGUCCCAGCCUCUUCCAUCCCAUUCAGUGGCCUCGGGCAAACUGAUAAUGAGCCCACCCACCGUCUAGAAGAUCAAGUCAAAUCCCAAAUAUUUGUGAGCAGCUUUGAAGUGCCUGGCAGUAGUGCUGGAGCUGUGAACACAACAGCCGAGUCCUUGCCCUUGUGGGGCUCCCAUUCCAGCUCAGACACGGACAAGAGAUGAAUAAGCAGAACCGUGAGGGCGGCACUCUGCUGGGGCCAGGCAGAGAGCAGGCAUUCGGCAGGUGUCUGGAGGCCGAAGAAACCUCUUUAUUUUGACAUGAAGGUUCUCUGUGGCCUGCAGAGUGUUGCUCCAAGUCGUCUGCACCCAACAGUCUCUGGCGACCCCUGUGAUUUAUCCAGUCCCUCAGAAGUCAUCUGGAACAUUCACACCACUCUGCAUUACUCAUCAAAAACCAACCCUCAGACACAGGCAAGCCAGGAGUUAGGACAUCCUGAUGUUGGGGUGAUGGAGGCUGAGAUUCAGCGGCCAAGCAGGCCGCUCAGUUGUACAAUUUGUAUGUGGGGACGAGGGGUUCUAAGGAUUACAAGUGCCGUCCCUCCCUGAGGUUUCCAUUUGUAAAGUGCGCUGAUGUGUGUCCAUGGGCCUCAGGUUCCUUUCUUAGGAGGCCCCAGCGGGCAUCCAGUUGUUCACAGAAUGGAGGUUCCUGGACCCCGUACAAGGCACGGGAGCCUGAUGAGCCACCACUGUGAGAGCACAUGGGGGUCUGAUUUAAUUGCUAUUCGAGUGGAUCCCAUAUGAUGGAUGUAUAUGGCAGGCUCGUGAGCACUCCUGGGCUCACUUUUGCCUAAAGGUACUUGCUCAGCACCGUGAUGGUGAUCCCAGGGGACACCUCCAUGGGGGCAUUGGAGGACCCAGAUGUGAGGUCCACAGGCAUGGCUCCCAAUCAGCACACCCAGCCCCUCCCUGACCCUCCCCAGGGGCUCCUGUCCCUAUUGCCUCCUCAGGUAUGACUCUCUUGGACCUACAGGUGCUGAAACAGCCUAAGCCAGAGCAGUGGGUAGGUGGGUUCUGGUUGGUGUCCACUCACGGGAAACCUACUCCUUGAUGUCUCAUCCACUUCCCUAACACUCGUGGCCAUCCAUGGAUGGGCUGAUGGGGACAGUGGGGGCAAGAGGGCGUCCAUUAGGAGUAUACAGAUGGCCCAUGGGGACCUCUGUCAGUGUUUCAAGUUCAGGUUUAUCACUGAGCUGGCCAGGGCCUGUUCUAGGCAUGAGAGAUACUUAAAUGAAUCAUACAGGGCCCAGGGAGCGUGUGGUCUAUUAAAGGAGACCCACGUACAGUCCAUACUGGCUCUUGUCACUGCCCUGCUCUCCUGCCC
Long non-coding RNA from Canis lupus familiaris (dog), 1839 nucleotides. RefSeq lists it as uncharacterized. The transcript has 3 exons. Lineage: Eukaryota; Metazoa; Chordata; Mammalia; Carnivora; Canidae. The record is from RefSeq and is a predicted model, not a curated record.